CCUACGGGAGGCAGCAGUGAGGAAUAUUGGUCAAUGGGCGCGAGCCUGAACCAGCCAAGUAGCGUGAAGGAUGACUGCCCUACGGGUUGUAAACUUCUUUUAUAAAGGAAUAAAGUGAGGCACGUGUCCCUUUUUGUAUGACCUUUAUGAAUAAGGAUCGGCAAAAUCCGUGCCAGCAGCCGCGUUAAUCCGGAGGUUCAGGGGGUUAUCCGGAUUUAUUGGGUUUAAAGGGAGCGUAGGUGGGUUGUUAAGUAAGUUGUGAAAGUUUGCGGCUUAACCGUAAAAUUGCAAUUGAUACUGGCAGUCUUGAGUGCAGUUGAGGUAGGCGGAAUUCGUGGUGUAGCGGUGAAAUGCUUAGAUAUCACGAAGAACUCCGAUUGCGAAGGCAGCUUACUAAACUGCAACUGACAUUGAGGCUCGAAAGUGUGGGUAUCAAACAGGAUUAGAUACCCGUGUAGUC
This 460-nucleotide ribosomal RNA is filed under the name uncultured bacterium. RNAcentral describes it as "partial 16S ribosomal RNA". It matches the Rfam family "Bacterial small subunit ribosomal RNA", at positions 338 to 795 of the family's 1533-position model. The record is from RNAcentral.